GCGGGAAUAGCUCAGUUGGUAGAGCACAACCUUGCCAAGGUUGGGGUCGCGGGUUCAAAUCCCGUUUCCCGCUCCA
RNAcentral lists this transfer RNA (76 nucleotides) under Gammaproteobacteria bacterium. RNAcentral describes it as "tRNA-Gly". It matches the Rfam family "tRNA". Rfam says of the family: Transfer RNA (tRNA) molecules are approximately 80 nucleotides in length. Their secondary structure includes four short double-helical elements and three loops (D, anti-codon, and T loops). Further hydrogen bonds mediate the characteristic L-shaped molecular structure. tRNAs have two regions of fundamental functional importance: the anti-codon, which is responsible for specific mRNA codon recognition, and the 3' end, to which the tRNAs corresponding amino acid is attached (by aminoacyl-tRNA synthetases). tRNAs cope with the degeneracy of the genetic code in two manners: having more than one tRNA (with a specific anti-codon) for a particular amino acid; and 'wobble' base-pairing, i.e. permitting non-standard base-pairing at the 3rd anti-codon position. The record is from RNAcentral. Lineage: Bacteria; Pseudomonadati; Pseudomonadota; Gammaproteobacteria. RNAcentral also lists the same sequence under 1 other name.